UACGUAGGGACCAAGCGUUGUUCGGAUUUACUGGGCGUAAAGGGCGCGUAGGCGGCGUGACAAGUCACUUGUGAAAUCUCCGGGCUUAACUCGGAACGGUCAAGUGAUACUGUCGUGCUAGAGUACAGAAGGGGCAACUGGAAUUCUCGGUGUAGCGGUGAAAUGCGUAGAUAUCGAGAGGAACACCUGCGGCGAAGGCGGCUUACUGGUCCGGUUCUGACGCUGAGGCGCGAAAGCGUGGGGAGCAAACAGG
This 253-nucleotide ribosomal RNA is filed under the name uncultured bacterium. RNAcentral's name for it is "partial 16S ribosomal RNA". It matches the Rfam family "Bacterial small subunit ribosomal RNA", at positions 524 to 776 of the family's 1533-position model. The record is from RNAcentral.